Molecule: long non-coding RNA, 234 nt
Filed under: Vicia faba (fava bean)
Lineage: Eukaryota; Viridiplantae; Streptophyta; Magnoliopsida; Fabales; Fabaceae
Source: RNAcentral
AUGGUGAGUUCUUGCAGAAUGAUCGUGAAUGGAGGAAGUGAGAGUGAAGGGUUGAAUAUGAAGAUGGAGAGAGAAAGAAGAAUGAAGGCGAGUGAUGAAAAAUCUGAGCCAUUGCAUCGGGAGUUAGUUGCAAGCAAUGCAGGGGCUAUUUGGAUUAAUGUGUUUGGAUUGCUUCUGAUUUUUUCUUCUAUUAAAAGAAUGAUUUUAGCAAUGUUUUUGGACAGAUCUUGGUAA